UUUGGCAGCAUAACACAGUGAGAUGCAGCUGGUGUUGAAUUUCUAGAGUCUUGGAGUUGUGAUUGGAUGACCUCUCAUGCACUCUGUGUAAGAAACAGCUGGGAAGAAAUUUGAAAGGUCUUUGUCUUAUCCAGGUAAAAAAACAGAGCUCAAUAAAAGUUGUGGGAGGGGGGUUGUAGAGUUCAUCUUUGUGAUUAUGCAGCUUUGGGAAGAAAACUGGCAGCUAUAUAGACUGAUUCAGGUGGAAAUCAGAUACCACUUUUGAGAAAAACUUAGUGAAUGGAAUGAACUUUCUUCUUGUAGAAAAGUUUGUAUGGUGGAUAAGUGACCAAGGCAUUCAGUUCUCUCACUCUCCUAGUGGAGGCAAUAGCCAUGCAGGAAGCUAUAUUCACUGACCUGUGUGGGAGCAAGCACAAUGCUAAAGACUUGAAAGGAAGAUCCCUCAGAGCCGACAACACUAAAUUCAGAUCCCAAAAAGGAGCUAGGUCCCUGAUGGAUAGAAGAGGAAGAGAGAAGGGAAGUCCUCUGCACUUAUGGUCUUGGGUCAUCCACCAGGUUAGAGAUGACAACAUCCUGUCUGGGGUGCAUAGCAACUUGUCUAGAUGGUAAAUCUGAGGACAAUAGACCAACUUGAGCAUGCCUGUAAUGCUCUGAGUUUCAGUCUGGUGUGCGUCGCUCACAUAUGUACAUGCAGCCAUAUGAUCUAAGAGCCUGAGGCAAUUCCUCACAGUGGUCUGAGGGACCUUGAGGGAUGCACAGAGGCUCAGUAUAAUCUGAAAUAUGGAAAGAGAUCAAAAUACUGAGGCAAAGGUCAAAUCCAGGACUGCCCCCAAUGAAUUCUGUUCUUUAUAGAGGGAAUAAUGUUGACUUUUCUUUGUUCAGUUUCAGGCCCAGGAUGUUGAACAGACACAGUUUGAUGGACAGCAGCCUGUUCUUGGGAUCUGGAGUGACCAUGAACCAAUCAUCCAGAAGAAACUGUCUGCAUUCCUCCCUCACCUCUUGGAACUAUGGGUACCUGUCUUGGACUCAGUCCCCUGAAGCUGUGACAUUAAACAUUUGUUGAGGGAACCCAUUUUGAUAAAGCUUGACAGGUUCUGAAUUCAAUCAAAAAUUCUCCACCCUGAGACCUGGGAAAAUACAAGAAAAUCACUCUAUCAGCACUGACAAUAAUUGGUGAGACAUUCGAAAUAUUGUAAACCAGGUAAGUGAUGGUUCAAUGCUAUGAGUAAUUAAUACACACAUACACUAUGGAAAAAUCAAUGGACUUAAAUCCUUGACUAGCAUACUUUGAAUGGAACAUUAUUUAUCAGAAAAGAAGCUCAAUACAACCUUUAAAAUUUAAGUGUAAUCAUUCUUUUUUCAAUGUUCUGAGGCAAAUUCAAUUUCAAACUUCCCUACAAUUGAGUUUAUGCAUUUUCACAGUAAACACUAAACUCCCAGGGUAGCUAGGUAGAAAAGUGUUCAAGUUAUAUAUUGCUGUAGUUCAAACAAUAUUCUUGGCUAGGUUUAUCUAGAAACCAAUGGCUUUUUUUGCAGGGGGUAAGCAAAUUAAUUAGUUCUCUGUGAGGUAUAAAGAACAGGCAACACGAGUUCAGGCCACACUCCAAGGCUUUGGUUUGAAGGCUAGAGAAAACUGAGCUAAUUACAGAUGAUACACAUUUGUGGUUGGAGGGAAUCAGAAUGCCCUGCAACAGCUGACAAAGGAGCAGUAGGGGUAGAAGCGCAAGAUAAAUUACUGGAGGUGGAUGUUUGUAAAUGUGGAGGGACUCAAAUAAAAUGUUUUCUAUAAAUACCAGGAAGAGAAAUCAGUUUAGUGUAUAAAUCUCUUUCAUGAACAAAUAAAAUUGAUUCACAAAUGAAUUAACAUUCAUUUAACUGAACUGGAUGCAUUUCUCUAUAAAUGCUAACAUUUGUUAAAGUUAUGAGUAAUAUAACAAUGGUUAUCCCAUUACCAAGGCUUUAAGUUACCCAUUAGUUUAAUAAGGGCAAUCAAAGAGUGAUUUUUCUGCAACAAAAUGAGUUUACACCUUUGUUUCCCAGCAUUUUUUUCCACUAUAACAUUAAUGAAGAUUAAUUCUUCAGAUUUAUAAUCUGGCAGAGAAAUAUUAGAAAAUGCACAAAGUCUAAACAUACUAUUAUAUAUUAGUACUUACAUUUCAGAUUAGGAGCACAAAAGG
Long non-coding RNA from Chrysemys picta bellii (western painted turtle), 2177 nucleotides. RefSeq lists it as uncharacterized. The record is from RefSeq and is a predicted model, not a curated record. NCBI's taxonomy places the organism in Eukaryota, Metazoa, Chordata, Testudines, Emydidae.